ACCAGACUCCUACGGGAGGCAGCAGUGGGGGAUAUUGCACAAUGGGGGGAACCCUGAUGCAGCGACGCCGCGUGGGUGAAGAAGCGCCUCGGCGCGUAAAGCCCUGUCAGCAGGGAAGAAAAUGACGGUACCUGAAGAAGAAGCCCCGGCUAACUACGUGCCAGCAGCCGCGGUAAUACGUAGGGGGCAAGCGUUAUCCGGAUUUACUGGGUGUAAAGGGGGCGCAGACGGCGAUGCAAGCCAGGAGUGAAAGCCCGGGGCCCAACCCCGGGACUGCUCUUGGAACUGCAUGGCUGGAGUGCAGGAGGGGCAGGCGGAAUUCCUGGUGUAGCGGUGAAAUGCGUAGAUAUCAGGAGGAACACCGGUGGCGAAGGCGGCCUGCUGGACUGCAACUGACGUUGAGGCCCGAAAGCGUGGGGAGCAAACAGGAUUAGAUACCCCUGUAC
RNAcentral lists this ribosomal RNA (446 nucleotides) under uncultured bacterium. RNAcentral's name for it is "partial 16S ribosomal RNA". It matches the Rfam family "Bacterial small subunit ribosomal RNA", at positions 330 to 793 of the family's 1533-position model. The record is from RNAcentral.